Molecule: unclassified non-coding RNA, 1326 nt
Filed under: Zea mays
Lineage: Eukaryota; Viridiplantae; Streptophyta; Magnoliopsida; Poales; Poaceae
Description: misc RNA Zm00001eb003990
Source: RNAcentral
GGCACAGCAGGGGUAUUCCUUCUGACUGCACGCACAGGCGCACGGCCAUGGCAUGGCAUCCGCGGAUCACGAACGCACGGAUGGGUCGCGCACUUGCCUUUGCGUGGCGAGGAGCUCCUGGAUGGACACGUAGAGGUGCUUGCCGCAGGAGGAGUCCAGGGAGACGGACCGCCGCAAGGGCUGCACCGCGAACUCCGCGUCCGUCUUCCUCGUGUCGAUGGCCUCGUCGCCGACGCUCUCCGCCGCCUUGCUGCACCGCGGCGCCGGCUGCUUCGGCGGCUGGCGCCGGGGCGUCGUCGUCGUCGUCCCGUGGCUGCUGCUGAACCACCUCUCGCGCUCCCCUCGCACCUCGAUCACAAUGCUUUCGCUGGCGAGCGCGUCGUCCCGGCGCCUGCUGGUGGGAAGGACCGCCGCCGCCGCCGCCGGGGCGCGCCGCGCCGACGGGAUCGCCGGCAGCGUGACGUCGCUCCGGCAGAAGGGGCACCGCGCGCUGCCCUGCAGCCACGUGUCGAUGCAGUCGAUGUGGAAGGCGUGGGAGCAGUUGGGCAACAGCCGGACGCGCUCGCGCUCCACGAACUCGCUCAGGCACACGGCGCACUCCGACACGGAUAUCCUCGGCGCCACGCCACCAGCGCCGGCGCCGGCGUCGCAGGAGGCGGCAGUGAACUUGACGACGGGGAGCAUGCGGAUGAGCGGCAGGCCCAGGCCCCGCCGCCCGUCGCCGCGGACGACGGACGACGGCUCGUCCCGCCUGCCUGUUAAGCCGCCGCCGCCGGCCCCCCGCACGCGCCGGUGCCACGGCGGCUGGCGCGACCACACCGCGCGCAGGAGCUGGCACUUGGUCACGAACGCGUAGUAGCUGGCGAGGAGCGCGAACGCCGCGAGGAUGCCCACGACUGUGAUGAUCACCAUGGUGAUGCUCGCGCCGGACGACGACGACGUCGGCGGCGAGGGCGAGGACGAGGACGAGCUGGAGGCGAAUAGCGCCAGUGGUGGCGGAGGAUCCAUUUCUAGCCACCGCCCUCCUCCCGGUCCCGGCCGAGAUAUCAAGGCUGCUAGUCCGGAACAGUUGUGGGCAGAGAAGCGUACGCGCAGGGAAAGCAAAGGCUGUGUGACUUGUGAGAGAGACGUAGAGCGGAGACGUAGCAGUGACAUCCAACGGACGGCGGCCACCACUAUUAUACCAAGCGAAGCGACCAGCGGACCAGGCUUCAAGCUUGUGGGUCAACAGCGCAGCUAAAUGCACGUUAGUUAUAGGACCUUACCUCUUCAUAGGUCACCAUCGCGACUCUAGAACAAAAAUACCUUUACAACAAACUUUUGCAC